AUAUUUUUCAAUUUGAAGGAAAACGGAGGAGAAAAACUAAAACACGUGCGCACGCUAGAAACCCCAAGGGCCAACUGGCGAAACUGACGAAAAUCGACUAGAGGUGGAGAAAAAUUGAUGCCAACAUCGAUGUCAAACAUCGAUAUUUUCGAAGAAUCACAAACAUCGGUGUUUUUCGAGGAAUCAUCGUAUAAAUUGAAAACGGAGGAGAAAAACUAAAACACGUGCGCACGCUAGAAACCCCAAGGGCCAACUGGCGAAACUGACGAAAAUCGACUAGAGGUGGAGAAAAAUUGAUGCCAACAUCGAUGUCAAACAUCGAUAUUUUCGAAGAAUCAUAAACAUCGGUGUUUUUCGAGGAAUCAUCGUAUAAAUUGAAAACGGAGGAGAAAAACUAAAACACGUGCGCACGCUAGAAACCCCAAGGGCCAACUGGCGAAACUGACGAAAAUCGACUAGAGGUGGAGAAAAAUUGAUGCCAACAUCGAUGUCAAACAUCGAUAUUUUCGAAGAAUCACAAACAUCGGUGUUUUUCGAGGAAUCAUCGUAUAAAUUGAAAACGGAGGAGAAAAACUAAAACACGUGCGCACGCUAGAAACCCCAAGGGCCAACUGGCGAAACUGACGAAAAUCGACUAGAGGUGGAGAAAAAUUGAUGCCAACAUCGAUGUCAAACAUCGAUAUUUUCGAAGAAUCACAAACAUCGGUGUUUUUCGAGGAAUCAUCGUAUAAAUUGAAAACGGAGGAGAAAAACUAAAACACGUGCGCACGCUAGAAACCCCAAGGGCCAACUGGCGAAACUGACGAAAAUCGACUAGAGGUGGAGAAAAAUUGAUGCCAACAUCGAUGUCAAACAUCGAUAUUUUCGAAGAAUCACAAACAUCGGUGUUUUUCGAGGAAUCAUCGUAUAAAUUGAAAACGGAGGAGAAAAACUAAAACACGUGCGCACGCUAGAAACCCCAAGGGCCAACUGGCGAAACUGACGAAAAUCGACUAGAGGUGGAGAAAAAUUGAUGCCAACAUCGAUGUCAAACAUCGAUAUUUUCGAAGAAUCACAAACAUCGGUGUUUUUCGAGGAAUCAUCGUAUAAAUUGAAAACGGAGGAGAAAAACUAAAACACGUGCGCACGCUAGAAACCCCAAGGGCCAACUGGCGAAACUGACGAAAAUCGACUAGAGGUGGAGAAAAAUUGAUGCCAACAUCGAUGUCAAACAUCGAUAUUUUCGAAGAAUCAUAAACAUCGGUGUUUUUCGAGGAAUCAUCGUAUAAAUUGAAAACGGAGGAGAAAAACUAAAACACGUGCGCACGCUAGAAACCCCAAGGGCCAACUGGCGAAACUGACGAAAAUCGACUAGAGGUGGAGAAAAAUUGAUGCCAACAUCGAUGUCAAACAUCGAUAUUUUCGAAGAAUCACAAACAUCGGUGUUUUUCGAGGAAUCAUCGUAUAAAUUGAAAACGGAGGAGAAAAACUAAAACACGUGCGCACGCUAGAAACCCCAAGGGCCAACUGGCGAAACUGACGAAAAUCGACUAGAGGUGGAGAAAAAUUGAUGCCAACAUCGAUGUCAAACAUCGAUAUUUUCGAAGAAUCACAAACAUCGGUGUUUUUCGAGGAAUCAUCGUAUAAAUUGAAAACGGAGGAGAAAAACUAAAACACGUGCGCACGCUAGAAACCCCAAGGGCCAACUGGCGAAACUGACGAAAAUCGACUAGAGGUGGAGAAAAAUUGAUGCCAACAUCGAUGUCAAACAUCGAUAUUUUCGAAGAAUCACAAACAUCGGUGUUUUUCGAGGAAUCAUCGUAUAAAUUGAAAACGGAGGAGAAAAACUAAAACACGUGCGCACGCUAGAAACCCCAAGGGCCAACUGGCGAAACUGACGAAAAUCGACUAGAGGUGGAGAAAAAUUGAUGCCAACAUCGAUGUCAAACAUCGAUAUUUUCGAAGAAUCACAAACAUCGGUGUUUUUCGAGGAAUCAUCGUAUAAAUUGAAAACGGAGGAGAAAAACUAAAACACGUGCGCACGCUAGAAACCCCAAGGGCCAACUGGCGAAACUGACGAAAAUCGACUAGAGGUGGAGAAAAAUUGAUGCCAACAUCGAUAUUUUCGAAGAAUCAUAAACAUCGGUGUUUUUCGAGGAAUCAUCGUAUAAAUUGAAAACGGAGGAGAAAAACUAAAACACGUGCGCACGCUAGAAACCCCAAGAGCCAACUGGCGAAACUGACGAAAAUCGACUAGAGGUGGAGAAAAAUUGAUGCCAACAUCGAUAUUUUCGAAGAAUCAUAAACAUCGGUGUUUUUCGAGGAAUCAUCGUAUAAAUUGAAAACGGAGGAGAAAAACUAAAACACGUGCGCACGCUAGAAACCCCAAGGGCCAACUGGCGAAACUGACGAAAAUCGACUAGAGGUGGAGAAAAAUUGAUGCCAACAUCGAUAUUUUCGAAGAAUCAUAAACAUCGGUGUUUUUCGAGGAAUCAUCGUAUAAAUUGAAAACGGAGGAGAAAAACUAAAACACGUGCGCACGCUAGAAACCCCAAGGGCCAACUGGCGAAACUGACGAAAAUCGACUAGAGGUGGAGAAAAAUUGAUGCCAACAUCGAUGUCAAACAUCGAUAUUUUCGAAGAAUCACAAACAUCGGUGUUUUUCGAGCAAUCAUCGUAUAAAUUGAAAACGGAGGAGAAAAACUAAAACACGUGCGCACGCUAGAAACCCCAAGGGCCAACUGGCGAAACUGACGAAAAUCGACUAGAGGUGGAGAAAAAUUGAUGCCAACAUCGAUGUCAAACAUCGAUAUUUUCGAAGAAUCACAAACAUCGGUGUUUUUCGAGCAAUCAUCGUAUAAAUUUGGUGUUGGCUGGCGUCGUGAAAGACAUGGAGAACAUGGUGGAGAAACAUCGAUGCAAGCAUCUCUAAAAUCAACGCAUGUACGAAAUGGUGUACAAGGAGAAUGCAGUGAUAACGCGAGCAGCUGAGCAUUGCCGUCUCGCUCGCACGCGUGCGGUGCGUGUGUGUACGUGAGAAUGCGCACAGCAAAGGCAACAGCGAAAAAUUCCGGUUGUGAAAAAGGGAGAAAGAAAAAAGCGUUUGUUACAACCAGGGGCGUUAGAAAACGGAGAAAAGGGUUGUGCCAAUGUAGAUUUGGUCUAAAUCAAUAAACAAAUAAAUAGAAAAAAGGUUGAUUGCAUAUAUUGUUA
This is a long non-coding RNA of Drosophila sechellia, 3192 nucleotides long. RefSeq lists it as uncharacterized. NCBI's taxonomy places the organism in Eukaryota, Metazoa, Arthropoda, Insecta, Diptera, Drosophilidae. The transcript has 17 exons. The record is from RefSeq and is a predicted model, not a curated record.